This 253-nucleotide ribosomal RNA is filed under the name uncultured bacterium. RNAcentral describes it as "partial 16S ribosomal RNA". It matches the Rfam family "Bacterial small subunit ribosomal RNA", at positions 524 to 776 of the family's 1533-position model. The record is from RNAcentral.
UACGUAGGGGGCAAGCGUUGUCCGGAUUUAUUGGGCGUAAAGAGCGUGUAGGCGGUUAGGUAGGUCCGUUGUGAAAACUCGAGGCUCAACCUCGAGACGCCGAUGGAAACCAUCUAACUAGAGUCCGGAAGAGGAGAGUGGAAUUCCUGGUGUAGCGGUGAAAUGCGCAGAUAUCAGGAGGAACACCGGUGGCGAAGGCGGUUCUCUGGGCCUGACCUGACGCUGAGGAGCGAAAGCGUGGGGAGCGAACAGG